UACAGAGGUGGCAAGCGUUGUUCGGAUUUAUUGGGCGUAAAGGGUCCGUAGGCGGUUUGGAAAGUCGGAUGUGAAAUCCCACAGCUCAACUGUGGAACUGCAUUCGAAACUCCCAGACUGGAGUGUGAGAGGGGUCAAGGGAAUUCCCGGUGUAAGGGUGAAAUCUGCAGAGAUCGGGAAGAACACCAGUCGCGAAGGCGCUUGACUGGCUCACAACUGACGCUGAGGGACGAAAGCUAGGGGAGCAAACGGG
This 253-nucleotide ribosomal RNA is filed under the name uncultured bacterium. Its description in RNAcentral is "partial 16S ribosomal RNA". It matches the Rfam family "Bacterial small subunit ribosomal RNA", at positions 524 to 776 of the family's 1533-position model. The record is from RNAcentral.